Lactuca sativa (garden lettuce) is the source of this 1896-nucleotide non-coding RNA. The record is from RefSeq and is a predicted model, not a curated record. Lineage: Eukaryota; Viridiplantae; Streptophyta; Magnoliopsida; Asterales; Asteraceae.
UCAAGCUACAAUGCUUUUACCCUGUGCUUGAAUGUACUGCUUCUUUCUCAACACGCUUCGUUGAACAGUCUCUCAUUACCCCUCAAGACUUCCGCAAACGCAUUAUCGGUCCUUCUGCAAGGUAAUGAUUCUCUCUCCCUUUUCUUUCCUCUUCUCUUUUGUUGCCGAUGAGCAACCCACCGCCACUUCUACCGCCAUCACAAGCAUUAUACUUUGCUCUGCUUCCAUCUCUCUAUGAGAAAAAAAAACUAAAAACGACACCACAUCAUUCCCUUUACCAGCACCACCACCAUUGUGUCUACCAACAUCACCAACAUCUAUUCUUGGAUGGAAAAAAGAGCGACCCACCACCAACUUAUGCACAACCAUCACCAUUUUUUGUUCCAAUCGCCAUAUAAAGCAUCAUUUUUGUUAAAAUAGAAAUCUUUAUCUGCAAUAAUGGGUUAAAGUUGUGUCGGAUGGAUUUUGGGAUCUUAAUCUGAGAUGAUUUGCAGAGGGAUCCUAAAGGUAAACAAGAUGACAUUUUCUUUCAGGACUUCCAUUUUUAACCAUGUGGAUACCAUUCCUUUUAUGAUGUUGCAGUUUUGUGGUAUGUGUUACUUCUCUUCUGACAUUAGGGGAUUUUUUUAGGUCAAGAAGACAAAAAUAAAGAGUUCAAAUCUCAAUACACCGACACAAAGGGACUCAGGUUUUAAGCCCAAUUUUCCUCUCAUAUGGAUUUUGUUAUUAUCAAAUUCUUGAUCUAAAUGUGCUAUUGACACAUUGAAACCUCUAAUAUUGUUAGUCUAUGUUAAUACAUGGAAUGUCGGAUGAGAACUUUCACCAGAAUCCUAAAUGAGUACAAACAAACAAAUAGUUAAAUAUUAUCAAAAGGUAAUUUUUUUUCUAAUUAUGGAUAACGAAUUAGAAGAUGAAAUUGUGCAAUGUGUGGUUUAGUAGUUCUAUAGUAUGUAUGUAUGAUGUGAUAAUCGUGUGUAUGUGUUGUGUAUAUAUGUAUGUGUGUGUGUAUUUAGGUGGGUUGUAAGUAUGUAUGUGUGAAACCGUAGUGUUUGAUUUAUAUAUGUCAAAUGAUUUUGUUGUUUAGAAGCCAUUUUUGUUCCUAAAAACCUAAACUUGACCCUAGAGAAAUAAUAUACAGGUUUCCUUCCUGGAGCCAUUGAGGAGUCUCAUAAAUGCAAUAAAUAACAUAGAUUUACUUUAAUUCUAUGACUUUUAUCAUGUUUAAUGAAAAUAAAUAUGAACAUUAUAAAUCAAGUUUAUCCUUAUUUAUGCCAUCUUGCAAAUCGCAAUUUUCAUUUGGUUUUGUAGGUUUAUUGCUAGAACAUGAAAUGAAUUUAUUAUUAGUUGUGAUUAUGACAGGUUCACACUGUAACAAAUCUCGAAAAUAAGUGUAUAUAUGCACUCUAUUGAUGUAGUUUUUUUUACCUUUAAUACCAGUGAAGAAAUCAAAGAUGGUGAUACCCGUCAUAAACCUGCAGCAGAUCGGGGUGGUUGUGAUUCGUUUUCAAGAGUGGAUCAGGGCCUUCGAGUCCCAUGCAAAUGAUGAAAAAGUGUCUUCUGGAUUACGAAAAUUCAUAUAUAAGAAUUUCCUUACUUGGAAGGAGCACAAUGAUUUUGAACUUAUGGGUUGAUCACUGGAGUCUAAAAUGGCAUCAGGUUUUAUUCCAUAGGAAUUUCAUAAGACAAAUAUAUGGUGGGGUAACUGCAUAACAGAUGGUGGGGCAUGGGAUAAUAUCAACAAGUACAUCAGGUGAAGGUGUUUCUGAGAGGUGAUACCGUGAUGAUCUUUACAUCUGGACAACUAGAAAGGAUGGUUGUAUCUGUGAACAUGAACGCUAGAAUAACAAAGACGAUGUUUGGUAGCAGCUUACAGUAUUGGAUUCUAGAGCAUAUGAG